This 884-nucleotide small RNA is filed under the name Pongo abelii (Sumatran orangutan). RNAcentral's name for it is "retained intron". Lineage: Eukaryota; Metazoa; Chordata; Mammalia; Primates; Hominidae. The record is from RNAcentral.
CUGUCCCCCGUUUCCUUUCCGCCUUGUCUCUGGAUUCAGUGGUUCAACACCCGUGUCCUCUCUGUGUUCCACUGGCCAUCUUCCCCAACCCUGUCCAUUCAGAGUCUCAGUCCCUCUCCUUCCCUCUGGCUCUCCCUUCACCAACGCUGUCCCUCACCCCUGUCCCCUUAGUUUCCCCCUUGCCAGCCCCAGUUCCCACCCCCCUCACAGCCCAGUGUCCCCAGGGGAGAAGCCAUACGUUUGCACGGUGCCAGGCUGCGGGAAACGCUUCACCGAGUACUCGAGCUUGUAUAAGCACCACGUGGUGCACACACACUGCAAGCCCUACACCUGCAGCACCUGCGGCAAGACCUACCGGCAGACCUCCACCUUGGCCAUGCACAAGCGCAGUGCCCACGGCGAGCUGGAGGCCACGGAGGAGAGCGAGCAGGCCCUCUAUGAGCAGCAGCAGCUUGAGGCCGCCUCUGCAGCCGAGGAGAGCCCGCCACCCAAACGACCCCGGAUAGCUUACCUUUCGGAGGUGAAGGAAGAGAGUGAUGACAUCCCAGCCCAAGUGGCCAUGGUGACUGAAGAAGAUGGGACCCCCCAGGUGGCUCUGAUCACUCAGGAUGGUGCCCAGCAGGUCAGCCUGUCCCCGGAAGACCUGAAGGCCCUGGGGAGUGCCAUCAGUAUGGUCACCCAGCACGGCAGCACCACCCUCACCAUCCCCAGUCAUGAUGCCGACCUGGCCACAUCUGGCACACGUACAGUCACCAUGGUCAGCGCCGAUGGCACCCAGACGCAGCCCGUCACGAUCAUUACCUCUGGGGCUGUGGUGGCUGAGGACUCAAGUGUAGCAUCUCUUCGUCAUCAACAGGUGGCACUGUUGGCCACAGCCAAUGGAA